RNAcentral lists this long non-coding RNA (816 nucleotides) under Parus major (Great Tit). RNAcentral's name for it is "lncRNA (ENSPMJG00000016237.1)". Lineage: Eukaryota; Metazoa; Chordata; Aves; Passeriformes; Paridae. The record is from RNAcentral.
GAGUAAUAAUUUUUCUUGCUAUAUUUUUUUUUGCACCUCUGUUUCAUAUCUCAGCAUUUUUGGGAAGUAUCUGAAUAUGUGGAAACAUCUGAAAGCACUGAACUAUUUUCUCCAUGUACUGGGAAAGUAGUAUUUCCACACAAAAUAUCUUCCUCAUUUUAAUCAGACAAAAGUUUUUUCCAAUACAUAUUCAUACUCAGAACUGAUAUCGUUAACUGAAAAUCUAAUAUAAUAAUUUGAAUGGAUGUUUCUAAUUUUUAUGGUUUUGGAUACAUAUUGUAGAGGUGAUUUUAAUUGGAUGAAAUUGCAAAACAGGUUUAUAUCAAAAUCAAUUCCUUUCAUGUACCAGUCUGUUGCUAGAUUAUAGUUUUGGGUGGUUUGCUUUUGUAUAUUUUGUGGUGUUUUAAAUUUUUUUGUUUGGUUUGGGCAGUUUUUUAUUUGUUUGUUUGUUUGUUUGUUUUUUGGUUUGUUGGAUUUUAAUUCUCUUCAUUUAUGACAGGGAAAGAACAGGGGAAAAGAAAAAAAACGAAAUCUAAAAGGAACCUGUCAUUUCAGGCUGUUCUAACAGCAAACAGGAUUUGACUGUAGAGUGUUAUGUUGAUAGAAGUUCCUGUUUUCUUCACCCAUGUGGCUGAGCUACCAGAAAAGAAGAGAAACAAUCUCAGGUGUUUCUCCAAUAGCAGGUGUAAAUCAUCUCUAGCUGAGAUAAUUAAGGUGUUACCAGGAAGAGGUUGAACUGCACAGGGUAGCAGCAAUUCUCCUGAGCCCUAUUGAAUUCACUGGUGCAAUUCUAAUAAAUAGUUUCCCGAAACCCCA